CGUAGGCGGCCCUGCAAGUCCGAUGUGAAAUCCCUCGGCUCAACCGGGGACCCGCGUCGGAAACUGCAGGGCUUGAGUGCAGGAGAGGAGAGCGGAAUUCCCAGUGUAGCGGUGAAAUGCGUAGAUAUUGGGAGGAACACCGGUGGCGAAGGCGGCUCUCUGGACUGCUACUGACGCUGAGGCGCGAAAGCUAGGGGAGCAAACGGGAUUAGAUACCCCGGUAGUCCUAGCCGUAAACGUUGGGCACUAGGUGUGGGAGGUAUCGACCCCUUCCGUGCCGCAGCUAACGCAUUAAGUGCCCCGCCUGGGGAGUACGGCCGCAAGGUUGAA
This 330-nucleotide ribosomal RNA is filed under the name uncultured bacterium. RNAcentral describes it as "bacterial SSU rRNA". It matches the Rfam family "Bacterial small subunit ribosomal RNA", at positions 570 to 898 of the family's 1533-position model. The record is from RNAcentral.